Long non-coding RNA from Photinus pyralis (common eastern firefly), 1019 nucleotides. RefSeq lists it as uncharacterized. The record is from RefSeq and is a predicted model, not a curated record. Lineage: Eukaryota; Metazoa; Arthropoda; Insecta; Coleoptera; Lampyridae. The transcript is spliced from 2 exons.
CUGGGAUUCGGUGUGUGUUUUACCAUCUUCAUGUUCCGUUGGUGAAUUAACCAUUUGCGAAAGCAUUUUUACUUGCCAACGAACUUAAAUGUUGUGUCGUUAAGGAAUCUAAAUCGACAGCAACUUUCCGAAAUGGAAUUUUAAUCUUGAAGCCGAAACACUCAUCGAUACCGAUCCGAUCCACGAUAUAACGCCUUUUACAUUACUUGCUGUUUGACGAAGUUUUUUUUGUUUACUCUCUACUUAGAGAGUCCUUGUAUUGGAUAGGAGUCCUUGUACGAGAUAAAAUCCUUGUACCGAUCUACGUACCGAAUGGUGUUAUUGAGGAUGGAUUGAACUUGGGAAGUUAGGCGACAGAAUAUUGCAGAGCAGUGCCGUAAAAUCUAGCAUUGCAACGUUACGAUCUUGCGGGCUAAGCCGAACUCUUCUAAUAACCGACACCUUUUAUUGCACUACGUAGAAGACUUACACCAGGACCCAGAGGAGCCAUUCAGACGUAAAUAUUUGAUCCUGUGGUGAUGUAAAUGUUAUAAAUUUAUCUGUUUGUAUUGAAUUGGACCCACAUUGUGGUAAUUGGCAUAUGCACUCAAGCCAAUUGUAAUACUGUUAAUUAGUCAGCUUGGAAUAUUGGGAUACGAUAAUUGAUAAUCACUUAAGUAUUACUCCCAUGUACGAAGUAAUAACCAGUAUGUAACGUACGAGCUCGUAACGACUUGAACCACUUCAUUGCCCCCAAGCUACCGAUUAAGGGAUUGAAAUCACUUUAUCUAAUUCAUCACUUGUGCCACGGUAACAAUAUUUGUGUUCUGACCCCAGAGAUUCUGGUGGGUUUUAUUCCGUAUUUCAUGGGGGAAAUUUUUUUUUUGUAAAUGUUUUAUGUUUGAAUUAAUUUGGAGUAUUUAUUGUUUAAAGCCUCAUAGUUGGACCUAAGUUUUUGGGAUUCCCAUUGGGGAACCGAAGUUUUGGUUGUGCUUUUAUGAAGGUGCAGAGCACCCCAAUAAAUAAUUAUUUUUGUGGGA